UGGGCUACACACGUGCUACAAUUGGGUUGGUAACAACGAGUUGCGAGUCGGUGACGGCGAGCUAAUCUCUUAAAGCCAAUCUCAGUUCGGAUUGUAGGCUGCAACUCGCCUACAUGAAGUCGGAAUCGCUAGUAAUCGCGGAUCAGCACGCCGCGGUGAAUACGUUCCCGGGCCUU
This 176-nucleotide ribosomal RNA is filed under the name uncultured Streptococcus sp. RNAcentral's name for it is "partial 16S ribosomal RNA". It matches the Rfam family "Bacterial small subunit ribosomal RNA", at positions 1210 to 1382 of the family's 1533-position model. The record is from RNAcentral. Lineage: Bacteria; Bacillati; Bacillota; Bacilli; Lactobacillales; Streptococcaceae.